CUGGGUCUAGUAGUUGGCAUAUUAAUUAUUCGCCCUACUAAGCGUAAUAAAGGGAGUGGUCCCUGAUCAUGGUGAGCAAGCUCACAAGUUUUAAACUUAUAGUGAGAAGCCUAAAGUGAUUACAACUGCACCCACCUGUCAAACGGCGGGCGGAAUAGAUUCAAGAACGCCAUAUCAAAACUAGGCCCUUU
RNAcentral lists this non-coding RNA (191 nucleotides) under Bdellovibrionales bacterium RIFOXYC1_FULL_39_130. RNAcentral's name for it is "6S RNA". It matches the Rfam family "6S / SsrS RNA". Rfam says of the family: E. coli 6S RNA was the first non coding RNA to be sequenced, but its function was unknown until recently. RNAcentral also lists the same sequence under 6 other names. Lineage: Bacteria; Pseudomonadati; Bdellovibrionota; Bdellovibrionia; Bdellovibrionales. The record is from RNAcentral.